GGGGGGGGCGAUGGAGUCACGUGCGUGGCGGAACCGGGGGUCACGUGACCCCGGCCAGGUGUCCCCGCGUGUUUCCACGUGACCCCGGCCAGCAGUUCCCCACGUGUCACGUGACCCCCCGCCGUGACCUUCCCCGGGAGUCCCACGGGUGUCCCGUGACCCCCGUGACCUCCCCCAGGUCCCCUCCAGGUGUGACACGGCGGGGCCACGUGACUGACAGGUGUCCCUGAAGUGUCCCAGGUGUGCCCGGCUGUGUCCAGGUGUGCCCGGCUGUGUCCAGCUGUGCCCAGCUGUGCCCAGGUGUGGUCUCCAGGUGUGCCCGGCUGUCUCCAGGUCCCUCCCGGUGUCUCCAGGUGUCUCCAGGUGCCCCCAUGGCCGCUGCUCGCCUGGGCCGGCCCCUGCCGGGCUCCUCGGUGCUGUUCUUGUGCGACCUCCAGGAGCGGGUUCCGGGGCUCCAUCGCCGCCUUCCCUCAGAUCGUGGCCGUGGCCGCGCGGAUGCUCCAGGUGGGCACACCAAAAACAGCCCAAAAAUACCCCAAAUGCACCCAGACAAACACCGAAAUCCACCCCAAAACAAACCCCAAACACUCGCAGAAUCCUUCCCGAAACCCUCCCCAAAAUGCCCCGAAAACCCUCCUUAAACACCCACAACCUCCUCUCCUAAAAACCCAAAAUCCUCCCCAAAACACCCCUCAAGAAUACCCCAAACA
Molecule: long non-coding RNA, 710 nt
Organism: Poecile atricapillus (Black-capped chickadee)
Lineage: Eukaryota; Metazoa; Chordata; Aves; Passeriformes; Paridae
Exons: 3
Source: RefSeq, a predicted model, not a curated record